Molecule: long non-coding RNA, 1701 nt
Organism: Megalobrama amblycephala (Wuchang bream)
Lineage: Eukaryota; Metazoa; Chordata; Actinopteri; Cypriniformes; Xenocyprididae
Exons: 8
Source: RefSeq, a predicted model, not a curated record
AUUAAAAAGAAACUGAGGCUUUACCAAGCUCAACAGCUCUGGCUGAGCUGCAAUAUAAACAAAACGCUAUUGGCUAUUUAAAAAAGGGGGAGGAGCUGUUCGAUAUGCCCCGCCCUCUCUUCCUGUUUCAGUGGAAAUUACAUCAACACACUGAAUAAUGCUGAGCGUUCCAAGGCACUUCAGUGGGCCUUUAAUGAUAAUAACCCUGUUAAACACGGCUUCUAUCAAUCAUCGUAUCUCACCCUGACUUUAUCUUCCUGAUGUGUUUUUUAAUUAUUAUAUGCUCACUUCACUCUAUAAAUAAAAUCAUAUCAUCAAACCUUGGCUGUGGAUCAUCUAACCCUGCCUAUUUCUCUGAUCUUGUAUAUCUUUACAUAAACACAACAUAUCUAAACCUGCCUGCUGAUCAUUUACCUCUUUAUAUCUAACCAGGGCCAUUGCUAAAAUCCAUAGGACCCAGGACUGCAUUUUAUGGGUGGACCCACUCUACCUCAGGCCCAAUGGGUAGACGAUACCACACAGAGGACCGUGGGGACAGCAUCGACAACAGUCCUGUGUUUGUCUAAAGGGCUUUGGUCUCCCAUGAUGCUCAAAGAACAACUUACACCAAUGAAACCAGACAACAGUCAUUCGUCUGUGACAUACACACUUGCACAACUAGACACAGAAGUUCAUAGCUGUUGACACACAUCAACUAAAUAAACCAGCCCGCCGAGUGAUUCCUCACCCAAAUACGUGAUAUGGAGGAGAGGCGCUCAUGUACAUCAAAGCAUGAAGAACGGAGAGAAAUAUCAGUCCCAGCUAUUGUUACAUGCCGAGGAUUGUGUCCAUACAGUGGGGCCGGAGCGACACUGGCCCCCUGAAGCGUCCACCUGAUAUAGCAGCGCAAGAUCACAGACAUGGACUUUCAGUCCAGUCCAAACUUAAACUUGUAUACAGAUUUUGAUGGAUGUCCCUGCUGAAAAGACCAGCAUGUUUCCAAACUAACAGUGAUUCACUGCAGUCAGACUCCCAGGAGGUCAGGUGUCUGGACAUGAUGUCACACCACUAACAUCAUCUAGCUUCUGCUACCUGAAAGUGACAGCUCUUCACUUCUCCAUGGUGAAGAGAAAGUCUAUGUGGAAGUUUUUCAUCAUGUGGUCUGUCUCUUUGUGUUGCUCUCAGCUGCAGUGGGUGGAACUAAUCUCAUUAAAUAUGAAAGAACUUCCAGUGAAUUGGGGAAAGAAAGAGGGAGUGAGAAAAAGAGGAGAGGAGAGGCCACUGAAGGUUGAGGCAAUGCGAGGCGUUGUGUGAUGCUGGACAGAUUUCGUGCUUAUAUCAUGAUGCAAUCCUUUAAGAAAAGAAAACUCCUCCACGCUGGGAUAACUAGCACUUUCCCGGCUGGAAUUCCACUCGUUAUUCAUCAACUGCGCCACAUUCCAGUGCAGUGACAUCAUAAUAAAAGACUCCUCUACAAAUCAGAUUCCUGCGGCAUAAACUCUCCUUUCUUCUGAUCAGUAAAGGUAUGUUCAUCAAGAGACAGAGAAAGAAGGAGGAGGACGAAAGAUCUGACUGGAUGCAUUUUCCACGUGAAAUCUGAUAAUUUCCAAAAUUCACACAGUGCUCAGGUUUGUGCCAUCUGAAUUGUCUUUCGAACAAUAAAACUAUUUAUUUAUACAUCAGUCAGAAAAUGAACAAACAAAUAAAAAGCUAUUGUCAACA